UGCCCCUUGGCUUAGAUGGUCAAAGCGUCUGACUGUUAUUUCAAUGGCAAUCAGAAGGUCGUGAGUUCGAGCCUCACAGGGGCAG
Non-coding RNA from Abortiporus biennis, 85 nucleotides. Lineage: Eukaryota; Fungi; Basidiomycota; Agaricomycetes; Polyporales; Podoscyphaceae. The record is from the annotation of a GenBank genome assembly.